GGGCGGGACACGUGGUAUCCUGUCUGAAUAUGGGGGGACCAUCCUCCAAGGCUAAAUACUCCUGACUGACCGAUAGUGAACCAGUACCGUGAGGGAAAGGCGAAAAGAACCCCGGCGAGGGGAGUGAAAAAGAACCUGAAACCGUGUACGUACAAGCAGUGGGAGCACAGGUUUACCUGUGUGACUGCGUACCUUUUGUAUAAUGGGUCAGCGACUUAUAUUCUGUAGCAAGGUUAACCGAAUAGGGGAGCCGGAGGGAAACCGAGUCUUAAUUGGGCGUUAAGUUGCAGGGUAUAGACCCGAAACCCGGUGAUCUAGCCAUGGGCAGGUUGAAGGUUGGGUAACACUAACUGGAGGACCGAACCGACUAAUGUUGAAAAAUUAGCGGAUGACCUGUGGCUGGGGGUGAAAGGCCAAUCAAACCGGGAGAUAGCUGGUUCUCCCCGAAAGCUAUUUAGGUAGCGCCUCGUGAAUUCAUCUCCGGGGGUAGAGCACUGUUUCGGCUAGGGGGCCAUCCCGGCUUACCAACCCGAUGCAAACUGCGAAUACCGGAGAAUGUUAUCACGGGAGACACACGGCGGGUGCUAACGUCCGUCGUGAAGAGGGAAACAACCCAGACCGCCAGCUAAGGUCCCAAAGUCAUGGUUAAGUGGGAAACGAUGUGGGAAGGCCCAGACAGCCAGGAUGUUGGCUUAGAAGCAGCCAUCAUUUAAAGAAAGCGUAAUAGCUCACUGGUCGAGUCGGCCUGCGCGGAAGAUGUAACGGGGCUAAACCAUGCACCGAAGCUGCGGCAGCGAACGUAUCACCCAAGACAACUUUGCACAGUUGACGAUUGACGGAGCGGAGCGACGUCAAAGCGUUUCACAACGUCGAGUUGGCUUAGGGAUACGUUCGUUGGGUAGGGGAGCGUUCUGUAAGCCUGCGAAGGUGGCCUGUGAGGGUUGCUGGAGGUAUCAGAAGUGCGAAUGCUGACAUAAGUAACGAUAAAGCGGGUGAAAAGCCCGCUCGCCGGAAGACCAAGGGUUCCUGUCCAACGUUAAUCGGGGCAGGGUGAGUCGACCCCUAAGGCGAGGCCGAAAGGCGUAGUCGAUGGGAAACGGGUUAAUAUUCCCGUACUUGGUGUUACUGCGAAGGGGGGACGGAGAAGGCUAUGUUGGCCGGGCGACGGUUGUCCCGGUUUAAGCGUGUAGGCUGGUUUUCCAGGCAAAUCCGGAAAAUCAAGGCUGAGGCGUGACGACGAGGCACUACGGUGCUGAAGCAACAAAUGCCCUGCUUCCAGGAAAAGCCUCUAAGCAUCAGGUAACACGAAAUCGUACCCCAAACCGACACAGGUGGUCAGGUAGAGAAUACCAAGGCGCUUGAGAGAACUCGGGUGAAGGAACUAGGCAAAAUGGUGCCGUAACUUCGGGAGAAGGCACGCUGACACGUAGGUGAAGUGAUUUACUCAUGGAGCUGAAGUCAGUCGAAGAUACCAGCUGGCUGCAACUGUUUAUUAAAAACACAGCACUGUGCAAACACGAAAGUGGACGUAUACGGUGUGACGCCUGCCCGGUGCCGGAAGGUUAAUUGAUGGGGUCAGCGCAAGCGAAGCUCCUGAUCGAAGCCCCGGUAAACGGCGGCCGUAACUAUAACGGUCCUAAGGUAGCGAAAUUCCUUGUCGGGUAAGUUCCGACCUGCACGAAUGGCGUAAUGAUGGCCAGGCUGUCUCCACCCGAGACUCAGUGAAAUUGAACUCGCUGUGAAGAUGCAGUGUACCCGCGGCAAGACGGAAAGACCCCGUGAACCUUUACUAUAGCUUGACACUGAACAUUGAGCCUUGAUGUGUAGGAUAGGUGGGAGGCUUUGAAGUGUGGACGCCAGUCUGCAUGGAGCCAACCUUGAAAUACCACCCUUUAAUGUUU
Molecule: ribosomal RNA, 1901 nt
Filed under: Salmonella enterica subsp. enterica serovar Texas
Lineage: Bacteria; Pseudomonadati; Pseudomonadota; Gammaproteobacteria; Enterobacterales; Enterobacteriaceae
Description: partial 23S ribosomal RNA
Rfam family: Bacterial large subunit ribosomal RNA
Source: RNAcentral